AUGGAGCGUCUCGGACGCCGGGCCGCCGCACGGGCUGCGAGGGAGGCGCGGCAGCAGCAGCAGCAGCCGGUGGUUGCUGGUGCGGCGGAGGCGGACCACGUCGGCCGCCGGGCUGCGAGGCGAGCUGUGAUUGAGGCGCGGGGCGCGCAGCAGCCGCCCGUCGCUGCCCCUGCCAGAAAUGUACUUCUCCCCGAAAUCCACCUCAGCGACUGGAUGCGGGGAAACCGCAACCGCAAGGAGAUGGGGAAGGUCACCACCCUGCCAGCUAUGGUUCCUCCAAUCGAAGCAAUAAGGUACCAAUUUAAGAAGAUCCACAGGACAGGUGAUGAAGUGGUGGAUGCUUACAACAGAGAGCUUAUUGAUUUAUUUAACCAAACAGUAGAUCAGAGAGGGGAGGUAUACCAUUGGCUUCUACAGACCGACUCGCCAGAAGUGCGCAAGGAGUUUACCCGCUGUGGUCGUGCUCUUGCUGGGCUGUCCCUAAAGAUUGGACUGAAGGAGGCAGAAAUUCAAGCGGCUGAGGGAGUUCCAAUCGAAAAACCAAAACACUUCAAAGAUUUUCCCAAGCUCGUGACACAGUAA
Molecule: ribosomal RNA, 582 nt
Filed under: Triticum aestivum (bread wheat)
Lineage: Eukaryota; Viridiplantae; Streptophyta; Magnoliopsida; Poales; Poaceae
Description: partial small subunit ribosomal RNA
Source: RNAcentral